UCCCCUUUGGAGAUCACUGGAAACAGCUUCUGGACCACAAAUGGGGUGAACUACUGUAUCGAGAAAGGAGAGAGUAAGACUUGAGAGCUAUCUUGUUAGCUCAGGGUGCAGUCUGUACUUUAAAACAAGUGUGGAAGUGGAGCACUCUACAUAUCCUAAGUGCCAAAAAUAUUCUCUUCAUGAAAUUCGCCAGAUCUGCAAAACACAGCUCCUUUUGAAGAGAAGAGCCAGGGAACUCCAUUAGCAGGCUUUGAUGGCAUUAAUAAUUCAGAGAGGUGCCGUGUAUCUUCUUUGAGAUAGACAGAAGGGUCCCUUUUAAUGUACAACCAGGCAGUAGAGAGGAGAGGACACGGGUUGGAGAGAAGAGGAGGUUGCAAGCCAGCACCUGGCCCACACCAGGGGAUGGAAGCUAAUUGUGAAAAGCUGCCGCACUACAGCUGCUGCCUUUUGAAAAAUGCAAACUGUGUUUUGUGCAAACAUAUCAUCCACUUACGGAGGCUUGCUCUGUCGCCCAGGCUGGAGUGCAGUGGCGCGACCUCGGCUCAGUGCAACCUCCGCCUCCUAGGUUCAAGCAAUUCUCUGCCUCAGCCUCACGAGUAGCUGGAAUUACAGGUGCUCGCCACCACACCUUGCUAAUUUUUAAAUUUUUAGUAGAAACGGGGUUUUAGCAUCUUGGCCAGGCUUGUCUUGAACUCCUAACCUCGCGAUUCACCCGCCUUGGCCUCCCAAAGUUUUGGGACUACAGGCAUGAGAAAAAAAAAUAAUAAAAAA
This 771-nucleotide small RNA is filed under the name Pongo abelii (Sumatran orangutan). RNAcentral describes it as "processed transcript". Lineage: Eukaryota; Metazoa; Chordata; Mammalia; Primates; Hominidae. The record is from RNAcentral.